UGCAGAGCAUUGGCAUUGUAUUUAUAUCUAAAUCUCCAGGACUUCUAUGUGCUGUAGUUGCCAACUAUGUCCUUGGAACUGCAUAUUCUAUUGAUCUUCCCUACCUUAGAUGGAAAAGACAUCCUUUACUUUGUAUACCAAGUUCUCUGCUCUGGUUUGCUUUUGGUGUUCAAAUCCCUUAUUUUAUACACAUCCAGAAUUAUGUACUUGGGAGACCAAACUUUAUUACAAAGGCAUUCAUAUAUCAAACAGCAUUGUUCUGUUCAUACUCUAUUGCUGGAGUGAUAUUAAAGGU
Molecule: long non-coding RNA, 295 nt
Organism: Telopea speciosissima
Lineage: Eukaryota; Viridiplantae; Streptophyta; Magnoliopsida; Proteales; Proteaceae
Exons: 3
Source: RefSeq, a predicted model, not a curated record